UCCGAGUUAACCACGGCAGUCUCUCUAGAGUGCCCAACUGAAUGCUGGCAACUAAAGAUAGGGGUUGCGCUCGUUGCGGGACUUAACCCAACAUGUCACCACACGAGCUGACGACAGCCAUGCAGCACCUGUCAUCCUGCGGUAUUGCUACCGAAACCGUAUCUCUACGGCUUUCCCCGAGAUGUCAAGCCCAGGUAAGGUUCUUCGCGUUGCGUCGAAUUAAACCACAUGCUCCACCGCUUGUGCGGGCCCCCGUCAAUUCCUUUGAGUUUCAGCCUUGCGGCCGUACUCCCCAGGCGGGGCACUUAAUGCGUUAGCGCCGGCACUCAGGGGGUCGCUCCCCCAAGCACCUAGUGCCCAUCGUUUACGGCGUGGACUAC
Molecule: unclassified non-coding RNA, 380 nt
Filed under: uncultured bacterium
Lineage: Bacteria
Description: contains 16S-23S intergenic spacer region
Source: RNAcentral